UUACGGGCGGCAGCAGUGGGGAAUAUUGGACAAUGGGCGAAAGCCUGAUCCAGCCAUGCCGCGUGUGUGAAGAAGGCCUUCGGGUUGUAAAGCACUUUCAGUGGGGAAGAAAGCCUUGGGGCUAAUACCCUCGAGGAAGGACAUCACCCACAGAAGAAGCACCGGCUAACUCCGUGCCAGCAGCCGCGGUAAUACGGAGGGUGCGAGCGUUAAUCGGAAUUACUGGGCGUAAAGCGCGCGUAGGCGGUCUGAUAAGCCGGUUGUGAAAGCCCCGGGCUCAACCUGGGAACGGCAUCCGGAACUGUCAGGCUAGAGUGCAGGAGAGGAAGGUAGAAUUCCCGGUGUAGCGGUGAAAUGCGUAGAGAUCGGGAGGAAUACCAGUGGCGAAGGCGGCCUUCUGGACUGACACUGACGCUGAGGUGCGAAAGCGUGGGUAGCAAACAGGAUUAGAUACCCUGGUAGUC
This 464-nucleotide ribosomal RNA is filed under the name Vreelandella stevensii. RNAcentral's name for it is "partial 16S ribosomal RNA". It matches the Rfam family "Bacterial small subunit ribosomal RNA", at positions 339 to 795 of the family's 1533-position model. Lineage: Bacteria; Pseudomonadati; Pseudomonadota; Gammaproteobacteria; Oceanospirillales; Halomonadaceae. The record is from RNAcentral.